GAGCGCCUUAAUAUUGAACAACAACGCAGCCGUCUCAUCUUUUAGAGCUGUCCCAGAGAUGCAGAGCAGAUGUAUGAUACUGUGCUGACACUCCACUAGCCCAGCAACUGCUAGAAGGGCUAGGUCAUUAGGAGCAUGCUCAUCUGCAAAGCAUUUAAAGACACUGUAAAAAAAAUCAGCAAAGGAACAGCUUGCCAAGUAGAAGCAACAAUAAAAUCAUGGUUAAGAAAGUCAAGAGACAGAGAUGGUGGGCGCCAAGGAAGGGCCAAAACUCAGAAGGGACUUACUUUUAAUUACAUUUUUUGGAGUUAAAAAA
Molecule: non-coding RNA, 316 nt
Organism: Danio rerio (zebrafish)
Lineage: Eukaryota; Metazoa; Chordata; Actinopteri; Cypriniformes; Danionidae
Source: RefSeq, a predicted model, not a curated record